RNA transcript from Salvia miltiorrhiza (redroot sage), 1856 nucleotides. RefSeq lists it as uncharacterized. The record is from RefSeq and is a predicted model, not a curated record. The transcript is spliced from 5 exons. Lineage: Eukaryota; Viridiplantae; Streptophyta; Magnoliopsida; Lamiales; Lamiaceae.
AUACAUAUAUUUAUAAGGUCCUGUCAGUUUCCUCUAUAAAUUUCAGCCAUUCUCGCCCAUUCGAUCACACACAAAGCAGCUUAACUCUUCACCCAACACACAACUCAUAUCUGCUAUCUCCUGCAAAAUAUCGAACCAAUUCAUCACAGCUCAAAUCUGCUACCUCCUGCAAAAUAGCAAAGAGAGUUGUAAUCAUCUUUAAAGAUUUACAUCAUAGCAGAAUUCUCAUAAAGGUCCACUUGAUAGAAGGCUUUAGCAUUGGCUUUACAACGCAAGAGAAUUUGUGCAUAUUUUAUCUACAGGCUUGUCCUAUCGAGGUUCACCAAUGGGAAAUAAACCUGCAAAGCCUGAGAAGAAGGAAGAGUUGUUCCUGAAAAUUGUUCCUCCUCUUGACCGUGCAUAUACUCGUUGGCUUGCUCGGGAUCUUGAUAGGAUUUAUGGUUUCACUCCACGAAAUCCACGUGCCAUAAAGCCCCCAGACCACUAUAUUGAAUACAUGCGUAUGAACGGCUGGUUGGACCUGGACCUGAAUGAUCCCGACCUUGCACAUUUAUUCAAGUGAACAAUCCGUGCAUGUGGAAAAUCUGGACUAGGGUCGGCAGAGAUAUUCGGUACAAUGCUAGUAAGAUGAGAACCUGUCACUCUGUAAGUAUACCUUCUUCUUGAUUCAGCUUUGAUUAAUGUUUUCUCUUUCUUAUGAAAAAUGGAAUGUACACUACUUUAGAUACAUGCAACACUUGAGCCCAAAUUUGCACGAUUUUUUUGUGUUUGAUUUUUAUAGAAGUAUUUGUAUUAUUUUUUAUUAUAUUUGUUAAAUUAAGUAAAUAUAUUAUCAAUUUGAUUGAUGAUUCGUGUUUCACAUAAAAAGAAUUCAUAUUUUGUAUAUUUUAAAUUUCCACAUUAUUAAAUUAUUCAAAAUUACAAAAUUUAAAAAUAUGGUAGCCGUGCACGAGAGAAAUUCUAGUUGUUUUGAAAUUACUAAUUUCAGCGUUCGUGAAAUUUACAAUUUUGCGCGUAUAUAUAUAUAUAUGUGAAUUUUACAUUAAAAUAGAAUAAGGUUUAGAACUUUAGAUGCUAAAUUUGCUUUUUGUUUGAACAUAAUUAGUUAACGGGCUUGAUGAGUAGUUUUAUUUAUGGAUGUUAUAAUGGGCCGUCGUGAAGGCCCAUCCCAACUUCUCUUGAGGCCCGCUAACAAAAGAGUUUUAGCCGCGUAAAUGCAAGCGCGAGGGGCCGCGUGGCGAGCUUCAAUUGAAAGGGGGCAGUACGCGCCAAAACAUUGCCUGCUUUAACGGUGCCUGCUUUAACGGUGCAAAUUGAGGCGCGAAUCGGCGAUCCAAACACUGCUUGAAAAGAAUAAGAUUCCAAUUUUUAUGACUUUUAAAUAUACAUUUUAUGGUUAAUCGGAAUAUUAUGCACAAAAUUAUGUUUUUCAUUGAUAAUUAUCUGGAUUGCGGAGUUAUAAAAGAAAUAGACAAAAAAUGAGAGGGUUAUUUACACAACCAAAAACGAAGAGGAAUUUCAAUUCUUUCCUAUAACGCCAAAUGUGCAAGUGCUACAGACAAUUUUCUUGAUACCUGGUUAAUGUUUUCCUGAAGCAAAAACACGCUCUAAAAAUAUUGUUUUGGAUUAUAACCUUAUAUACUAGUACAAGAUACCAUGAUUUCUGACGAAGAAUACGAUUUUUUGUUUCUUCAGUUUUUAAUAGGACCCACUUCACAUUAAAUAGGAUUUCUACCCAUACUAAUAAAACCUCAUGUUAUCCCCGAGGGGACACCAAGCGGUAUCAUCUCCUGUGUGUAAACAGUAAGGUCUCGGGUUCGAACAUCACUGCUCCCCCUCCCUAAGUCAAAAAAAUA